RNAcentral lists this ribosomal RNA (673 nucleotides) under alpha proteobacterium IMCC14363. RNAcentral describes it as "bacterial SSU rRNA". It matches the Rfam family "Bacterial small subunit ribosomal RNA", at positions 28 to 749 of the family's 1533-position model. The record is from RNAcentral. Lineage: Bacteria; Pseudomonadati; Pseudomonadota; Alphaproteobacteria.
AACGAACGCUGGCGGCAGGCCUAACACAUGCAAGUCGAGCGCACCUUCGGGUGAGCGGCGGACGGGUUAGUAACGCGUGGGAACGUACCCUCUUCUACGGAAUAGCCUUUGGAAACGAAGAGUAAUACCGUAUACGCCCUUUGGGGGAAAGAUUUAUCGGAGAAGGAUCGGCCCGCGUUAGAUUAGAUAGUUGGUGGGGUAACGGCCUACCAAGUCUACGAUCUAUAGCUGGUUUUAGAGGAUGAUCAGCAACACUGGGACUGAGACACGGCCCAGACUCCUACGGGAGGCAGCAGUGGGGAAUCUUAGACAAUGGGCGCAAGCCUGAUCUAGCCAUGCCGCGUGAGUGAUGAAGGCCUUAGGGUCGUAAAGCUCUUUCGCCUGUGAUGAUAAUGACAGUAGCAGGUAAAGAAACCCCGGCUAACUCCGUGCCAGCAGCCGCGGUAAUACGGAGGGGGUUAGCGUUGUUCGGAAUUACUGGGCGUAAAGCGCACGUAGGCGGAUUGGAAAGUUGGGGGUGAAAUCCCGGGGCUCAACCCCGGAACUGCCUCCAAAACUAUCAGUCUAGAGUUCGAGAGAGGUGAGUGGAAUUCCAAGUGUAGAGGUGAAAUUCGUAGAUAUUUGGAGGAACACCAGUGGCGAAGGCGGCUCACUGGCUCGAUACUGACGCUGA